AAAAUUUAAUUUACGUAUGACAGUUAAUACAGUACGACAUUAAAUUUGCAUGUGUCGUAUAUCUCUAUAAUAGCAGAAAUCUUUUCAAUAGCAGAAAAAUGCCAAUCAUCGAAAUAAAGGAAGUUAUAAAAAAUUUAUAAUAAAGAAAAAGGAGGUUAAAGUUCAGCAAAGUAUAAAGAGACCUACAAAAGAAAAUCUGCAUAUUUUUUUGUCGACCGUAAUCGUAUGCUUGGAACUUGCCCGAGUUUACUUCCUGAAUGUAAUGCAACACGGUUUUGAUUGAAGUACCGGAUGGUAAGUGAGCCAAGAUCAUGGGCAAUAAAGUCUAGGGAGCAUAAAAACCGAUGAUCAGGAAAAUUAUGUCACUGCAGAUCUGUUUUGUAAAGGGAUCGAAGUUGCAUCCCACUCUCGUCAGAUA
This is a non-coding RNA of Linepithema humile (Argentine ant), 418 nucleotides long. The record is from RefSeq and is a predicted model, not a curated record. NCBI's taxonomy places the organism in Eukaryota, Metazoa, Arthropoda, Insecta, Hymenoptera, Formicidae.